AGUGAACGCUGGCGGUAGGCCUAACACAUGCAAGUCGAACGGCAGCACAGUAAGAGCUUGCUCUUACGGGUGGCGAGUGGCGGACGGGUGAGAAAUACAUCGGAAUCUACUUUUUCGUGGGGGAUAACGUAGGGAAACUUACGCUAAUACCGCAUACGACCUACGGGUGAAAGCAGGGGAUCUUCGGACCUUGCGCGAUUGAAUGAGCCGAUGUCGGAUUAGCUAGUUGGCGGGGUAAAGGCCCACCAAGGCGACGAUCCGUAGCUGGUCUGAGAGGAUGAUCAGCCACACUGGAACUGAGACACGGUCCAGACUCCUACGGGAGGCAGCAGUGGGGAAUAUUGGACAAUGGGCGCAAGCCUGAUCCAGCCAUACCGCGUGGGUGAAGAAGGCCUUCGGGUUGUAAAGCCCUUUUGUUGGGAAAGAAAAGCAGCAGGUUAAUACCCCGCUGUUCUGACGGUACCCAAAGAAUAAGCACCGGCUAGCUUCGUG
Molecule: ribosomal RNA, 492 nt
Filed under: uncultured bacterium
Lineage: Bacteria
Description: partial 16S ribosomal RNA
Rfam family: Bacterial small subunit ribosomal RNA
Source: RNAcentral